This 308-nucleotide RNase P RNA is filed under the name Nanobdellota archaeon. RNAcentral's name for it is "RNase P RNA component". It matches the Rfam family "Archaeal RNase P". Rfam says of the family: Ribonuclease P (RNase P) is a ubiquitous endoribonuclease, found in archaea, bacteria and eukarya as well as chloroplasts and mitochondria. Its best characterised activity is the generation of mature 5'-ends of tRNAs by cleaving the 5'-leader elements of precursor-tRNAs. The record is from RNAcentral. Lineage: Archaea; Nanobdellati; Nanobdellota.
GGUAGGGGUGUUCUGACUGUCGGUGCAACUGAAAGGUUGUGUUGAGGAAAGUCCGCCCACCGUCAAAAAGCAACCAUGGUGACAUGGCCCAGGAAACUGGUGGCAACCACGUCAGAAACGCCACGUUCCAGAUUCGUCGUGAUGUUCGCGAAUCCUCGAGCGAUCGGGGAGAGAACCAACGGAGCAUGUUUCUGGAGAUCGAUGAAACGGUGAGUCCUUGCUGGUGCAAGUCGUUAUGACGCUUAGUCUAAUGUCAGACCAAUCCGUCCUUACGGGGAUUGACAGAAGGCGGCUUAUCAGCCUCUACC